GACGGAGGAUGCAAGUGUUAUCCGGAAUCACUGGGCGUAAAGCGUCUGUAGGUGGUUUAAAAAGUCCACUGUUAAAGAUUGAAGCUUAACUUCAAAAAUGCCGUGGAAACUUUUAAACUUGAGUAUGAUAGGGGUAGAGGGAAUUUCCAGUGGAGCGGUGAAAUGCGUAGAUAUUGGAAAGACCACCAAUGGCGAAGGCACUCUACUGGGCCAUUACUGACACUGAGAGACGAAAGCUAGGGGAGCAAACAGG
This 253-nucleotide ribosomal RNA is filed under the name uncultured bacterium. RNAcentral describes it as "partial 16S ribosomal RNA". It matches the Rfam family "Bacterial small subunit ribosomal RNA", at positions 524 to 776 of the family's 1533-position model. The record is from RNAcentral.